UACAUUCAAAAGAAACAAUUACUAUCAAGUUUUCAACUAAUCAAAAGUGCAACUCAUGAAAAGAGAAAAAGAAUUGAGCCUUUAAUGUACUCAUGGAUGACAACUUGGAGCCAAGAUCAGCCAGAAUCUUCUUGGCAUCAGUGGUAAGGUUCUUGUUUGAUCCUAAUGCCUUCACAAUAUGUCUUGCUGUAGCUAUCAAAUUCUCUUCUCUUUCUAGUUCAGGAAUCACAGGCUCAGAUUCCUCAACAGCCAUAAGGAACCAAAAGAAAAAACUCCAAACAAAAAGGAAACAAGAUUGAUUGAACCCUAAAUACAAUACCACUUCCUUCUGUAAAAUCUUUUCACCACACAGCUUCAAUAGUAGUAGCUCACAAUACACACCACACAGAACAACGAAUUAGCAGCAGAACCUUAUCAGGACCAAUCAAUAAAGCUCAAAAAACAAAUUUUGCACAUGGGUAUGAAGAAAAACCU
RNAcentral lists this long non-coding RNA (474 nucleotides) under Arachis ipaensis. RNAcentral describes it as "long non-coding RNA (AIPA_LNC001947)". Lineage: Eukaryota; Viridiplantae; Streptophyta; Magnoliopsida; Fabales; Fabaceae. The record is from RNAcentral.